RNAcentral lists this ribosomal RNA (520 nucleotides) under uncultured Glomus. RNAcentral describes it as "SSU rRNA". It matches the Rfam family "Eukaryotic small subunit ribosomal RNA", at positions 569 to 1091 of the family's 1831-position model. Lineage: Eukaryota; Fungi; Glomeromycota; Glomeromycetes; Glomerales; Glomeraceae. The record is from RNAcentral.
AGCAGCCGCGGUAAUUCCAGCUCCAAUAGCGUAUAUUAAAGUUGUUGCAGUUAAAAAGCUCGUAGUUGAAUUUCGGGGUUAGUAGGUCGGUCGUGCCACAGGUAUGUACUGGUCUCACUGAUUCCUCCUUCCUGAUGAACCGUAAUGCCAUUAAUUUGGUGUUGCGGGGAAACUGGACUGUUACUUUGAAAAAUUAGAGUGUUUAAAGCAGGCUAACGCUUGAAUACAUUAGCAUGGAAUAAUGAAAUAGGACGUUCGAUCCUAUUUUGUUGGUUUCUAGGAUUGACGUAAUGAUUAAUAGGGAUAGUUGGGGGCAUUAGUAUUCAAUUGUCAGAGGUGAAAUUCUUGGAUUUAUUGAAGACUAACUACUGCGAAAGCAUUUGCCAAGGAUGUUUUCAUUAAUCAAGAACGAAAGUUAGGGGAUCGAAGACGAUCAGAUACCGUCGUAGUCUUAACCAUAAACUAUGCCGACUAGGGAUCGGAUGAUGUUAAUUUUUUAAUGACUCAUUCGGCGCCUUAC